Molecule: long non-coding RNA, 7570 nt
Organism: Mustela lutreola (European mink)
Lineage: Eukaryota; Metazoa; Chordata; Mammalia; Carnivora; Mustelidae
Exons: 2
Source: RefSeq, a predicted model, not a curated record
ACCUGGCUAGUGACCAGCAUCACCCAGGCGUUUUCUUGGCAGGAAGCCUGAACUGAGAAUGCCUUUGCUGUGACUGAACUUGGGGUGUUCUGUUCGUUUCAGUCCUUUCACUGUACAGUUCCCUGUCUCUAGUUCAAAAGAAAAUUAAUUGGUCAGCAGAGGGUUUCAGAAAUCAUUAAUACCUCCUUUUGCGUCAUCUCAGAACAUGUUUUUUGAUCUCCAAGGAUAACGCUCAGCACAAUUUAUUGCCCAAAUAAGUAUUUUUUUAAACAUUUCUGGGUAAUGAUGAUGAGGUACUUAAACAGCAAAAAAAAAUAGAUACAGAAUUUGUCACACUGGGGAUGCAAACAAGCCUACCUUGAAGGAACUUUCAAGUCUUGUUAACUAAAAUAGCUUAGGUACCUUGGACUUGGGUGCCCCUUCACGUAAAAACCAUCUUCCAGAGUGUGUCAAGCACUUUGGUCUAAGUUAAAAUCUGGGCUUUGGAAUAGAUCUGGAUUUUUAUUCACCAUUUACUAGCUGAGUAAAAUUACCCUCAAUUACCUUUGAGCCUGACUCUUCACAAGACAACAAUAGCUGGAACUUCAAAAAGGCAGUGAAGACUAAAUGAAAUAAUCAACACAUCAUUCAGGACAAUGCCUGGCACAUGGUAAGCACACAGUGAACAGUAGACGUUAUUUACUGAUAUUAUAUGUUAAGCGUCCAGCUUUGUUAGUUUCACCUUCCAAGAGGAAGUUUAUCAUCUCUGCAUUUGGUGCAUGUGCUGACUCUAAUACUUCAGUAUUAGAGUCGCAGAGUACUGAGAGGCUGAGAGAGGCUAAGAAAGGCAGUUUAUCUUACAGAGCGCCAUCACCAGUAGAAAAGCUUAGGAUGUAUUAAAAGAAUGUGAUCAGAUUAUAGACUAUAUAUAGAUUAGUUUAUAAAGAGUAAGGGCCUUGUUGCUCCCCCCAUUCUGCUCUCCAAGCUCAGCACUGUGCCUGUGGGAUGCACAAUCAAUAUGAGAAGCAUGAGAAUGACAGAGGAGUUUCCCCUCGUGAGGUAAACGGGAAGAGAGUAUUCACAUAAAUAGAAUGGCAUUUUAAAAAGCCUCUGGAGUGAGGCAAAAAUAAUUUAGACUUUGUCCCAUAGCAAGUUAAAAGCUGGGAUGCCUGGGUGGCUCAGUUGGUUAAGCAGUUGCCUUCGGCUCAGGUCAUGAUCCCAGUGUCUUGGGAUCGAGUCCCACAUCGGGCUCCUUGCUCCGCAGGGAGCCUGCUUCUCCUUCUGACUCUGCCUUCCACUCUGUCUGCCUGUGCUCUCUCUCGCUUGCUCUCUCUCUGACAAAUAAAUAAAUAAAAUCUUAAAAAAAAAAAAAAAAGAAAAGAAAGUUAAAAGCCAUUAAAACUGGUGGUGUGGCAUGUACAAAUUAGCAUUUUAGAGAGGUUAGCAUUUUAGAGAGGCUGUUUGGUUUGGAGGCAGAGAUAUUAUUUAGAGCUGAUGGGAUCAUUUAUUAGGUAAUAGCUUAGUGCCAGGCCCUGGGGUAGGUGUGGGAGGAGAUACAAGGUUGAGUAAGACAUGGUCAGAUCCCAAGGAGCUUGUCAGACUAUUGGGAUUUUUUUUUUAAGAUUUUAUUUAUUUAUUUGACAGAGAUCACAAGUAGGCAGAGAGGCAGGCAGGCAGAGAGAGAGAGAGAUGAAGGGAAGCAGGCUCCCUGCUAAGCAGAGAGCCUGAUGCAGGGCUCAAUUCCAGGACCCUGGGAUCAUGGCCUGAUGAUCAUGACCUGGGAUCAUGACCUUAAAGCCAAAGGCAGAGGCUUUAACCCACUGAGCCACCCAGGUGCCCCAACUGUUGGAAUAUUUUAAGUGUGAGACAGACAAUGAAGACUUGGAGAGCCCCUUUGGAAAGAAAGGAAUAAAACUGGGGAAGAACUAGUUGUACUUAGUAACCGACUGUAUGGAGAAGAGGAAAAAAAGGCACCAAGAUUUUGACCAUAAAUCAUGGGCAGAACUAGGGUCUCAGGAUAGGUUUGAGUCUGAGGAGAUGGCAGAGCAGUUAGAAGCUAGGAAUCCAGUUGUCAGUGAAAAUGUUAAAUUGAAACUUAGGAAAAUAUUAGAGCUGGAAGAGUUGAUUUGUGGAUCAUUUUGCAAGAAGGGGCAGCUUAAAGUCAUGAGGGUGAAUGAGAACUUGGGAGAAGCAGUAGGGGAAAGAUCAGAGAGAUGAGGAAUGAGACUUGGCGAAUGAAUUCUCAUGUUUGAGAGGUGGGAGGGGGAAAUGGAGGCAGAGAAGGAGCAAAAGAACCCCCAGAAAGGCGGGAAAACCAGGGAAGUAGAGUCGUAGAAGCCAAUAGGGAUGGGCGUUUGUUAAGGGAGAGAAUGUGUAGUGCUGGACGCUGUAGUGAGGUCAGAGUGGAAGACACCAGGAAGAGACAAGAAAAUAUAAAUCAAUUUAGAACAAUGUAGAAAAUGUGAAUUAACUGCUAACCAUAAGAAAUGAUUAAAAUAUUUGUUAAAAGACUCUGGGCUAGGUUUUUAUUUGGGAGGGGGUGUAAUUUUAUUUUUUAUUUGUUUUCUAUUAUUUAUUUAUUUAUUUACUUAUUUAUUUUUUUGACAGACAGAGAUCACAAGCAGGCAGAGAGGCAAGCAGAGAGAGAGAGGAGGAAGCAGGCUCCCCACAGAGCAGAGAGCCCGAUGCGGGGCUCAAUCCCAGGACCCUGGGAUCAUGAUCUGAGCCAAAGGCAGAGGCUUUAAUGCACUGAGCCACCCAGGUGCCCGUUUUCUAUUUUUCUUAAAGUUAAAAUAUAGUAUUUGAAAGUUCAUAAAGAAUAAUAGCAGUGUCCUUUUUUCCUCCUAGGCCUAUUCCCCCGAGACAACCACUGUCCGCUCUGAGAUGUUUCACUGCAUUCCUAAAUAGUAUGCUUAUGUUACCACUUCUUGAAGAUAAAAUUUGGGCAUUAUCUAUAGAUUUUCUGUUAAAGGAUGAGGAUAUGUUUCUCUUAAGCUGCUACCCACUUCCCUUCUCUGCAUCUUUCAUAAAUCAUUAUAUUACACAUUGUAGUUAAAUGAAUUAUGUAAUUUGGAUUCUGUAAAUGUUACAUUAUUACGGAACCAAGUUGUGUGCCGUGAUAGGUUUCCUUUUGUAAAAUUUAGUGUUUUCCCUGGAGAUGAUGAUUACCUUAUUUUUUUUAACCAGGCAGAAUUUUCCAUAUCCAUAUCUUUAAUCCUUUAUCCAAUCUAUCACAGGCCUUCAAAAAGAUGAUCUAUCAAUUCUGUUUUCACCUCCUCAAGAUCUUCCAGAGUCCUCUUUCUUUUUUUCCUUUUGGACUACUUGUUUUGGCCAUUUUUCAUUUUAGAAUUUUCUUAUCUCCUUUCUCCUAUUAGAGUCUUUCCGUUCCUGGAUCCCAUUUUAUCCACUCUACCUGUUCACUUCCUGUUUUUCUGAAGUACACCUCUGGUGGCUUCUUAAGAUCACAUGGGAGGCAAUCUUUUUUUUUUUUUUUUGAGUCAUUGCCUGUCUUUAUUCUUUCCUCACAUUUGACUGGCAAUUUGGUUGGGUAUAGAAUUCCAAAUAGAACAUAAUACUUCGUUUUGAAGGCUUGUUCCUUUGGGAAUAUAGAAACAAGAGUCACUCUCUGCUGGCCGUAUGAUGAAGUCACAUAUAAAGCUGAGUCUAGAGGGGGCCAUGUUUAGGUUUUGUCUAAGUAGUAAUAGAGUAGAGGAAAUAAAGGAAAUAUGCAGAGAUGAGAGACCUUGCUGCCCCAGAGAUUGAGACUGUCACUGUUUAGGUUCUGUUGGCUUUCUGGUUUCUGAUUUCAGAACCCGGAUCUCAUGAGGGCUUUAUUCCUUUAUUCCUGCUUUAUUAUUUGUUCCUUUUAACCCAUGGCAGCUUGAGCAGAUUCUGUUUCUUUACAACUAAACGUUUAUUAAGGCAACCAUCCAUUUUAUCUCAAAUCCAUCUCUGUCACAGCGUGAAGGCUCAGUGUCUGUAUUUAGAACUAGGACCACAUUUCUGAGAGAUCUCUGAAUUAGAAUCAAGAAAGCCUAAAUUUCAGACCUCUAUCUGCUUUACUGGCACUGGUCAGCAAGACAAAUUGAACAAAUUGCUUUACCUCCAUGUAACCCAUAAAAAUGAAAUUAUUUAUCUCAAUAAGAUUUUUAAAAUAAAAGACAGAAUGAGAUCACUUUUGUAUUCAUGCUGUGAGCAUUUGCCACUACAGUGGGACUGUAGGAAAUGACUGAGUGACUGAGUCAUGGGAAGGACUCUGAAGUAACUAUUUCUGUCUCCAGUUGCUGACCCUGCUUAUUAUCUCAUCUGGUGGCAUGUGAGAUGUCAGAACUCACCUGUGACUAAAAUAGAGAAAAAGUGACCCUGGAGGCAGAUGUCUGGCUUCCGGGCUUGUGGCACAACACUGGUAGGACCCACUGUCCGAUGGUGUGAUUUGGUUUAUGGUGAACACCAAAGGAGAUGGUAUUUCACUGACACCAUCUCUCCCGGGAUUCCGUUUAAAUCUCAGUUGCUGCAAGCUGGUCUCGGGGAAGCAGUCAGAAGAUCUGUUCUUGCACAAAAACACCAUAACCCCCUCAGCCUCUUCUUUCUUAUACUGCAAAGUACAGAUCAAGCGUAGUUGUUUUCCUUCCUGGUGAAAUGAGCUUUGGAUCUGCAUGCCCCCUGGAAUGGGAAGGGAGAAGAGUUAGCCAGGGGAAGUUCACUCACAUAGACUAAGUGCACUCACCCAGAAAUGUUGAGGCAGAGGAGGCGGCUGCCCAGCCUACAUUAAAUACCACCUCUUAGAAGAGUAGUUUACGGACUAUACCUGUAUCUGAGGGAGACCUGUAAUCCCAGUUACUUGUUAAUUCAGAAAUGGUUUAGAUUUUAUUUGUACUCCAAAUGGAACUUGUAUAGGACCUUAAUUAAAGUGCAUUUAUAUACAUCUAAUCCUCGGUAUAGCCCUAGAACCACGUACUGAUGUUCUCAUUUUAUAAACUGAGCUACACAGUGGUUUAGUGGGUUGCUAAUGCUGACAUAUAUAUUUCAGAGAGAGGAGAGGCAGAGGGAGAGGAGAGAGAAUCCUAAGCAGGCUCCACGUCCAGCACAGAGCCCAAAGCAGGGCUUGAUCUCAUGACCCUGAGAUCAUGACCUGCCUCGAAUCAAGAGGUGGAUGCUUAACCAACUGAGCCACCCAGGCGCCCUCAAGUUGACACACAUUGUAGUAUCUGGAUCUCAAACCUGGAUUUCAUAAAUUCAGAAUGUAUAAGAUCCUGAAAGUAUCUUAGAUUGAGGGCCAGAUUACCAGGCUCUUGGCAACACAUAGCAGAGGCAGAAUGUCUGAUGGGGAGGGCAAAAGCAUUAGUUUUAACAGAAAAAGAAAAACUAUUAUUUUUCACCCUUCCAUUAGUGUCAAGAGGGAGUGGGUCCUUUUCUUCCCUACAAGAAAAAAAACCUUGGGAUCCAUCCCUCCUCCUGAAUCCAGGAUUUUCCCUGAUGGCUAUCUCUGUUCUGGGGAUCUGAGGAGGGGCUGUCCUCACCACCAAGCUGGGUGUCCACAAUUGCCAGCAGAAUGGCCAGGGCGAAGCAUCCUCUGCCAGAUGCCAUCAGUGUCCUGCACAGUGUCAGCAGCCACAGGAACUUGAAGCGAAUGUUGGCUCCAAAGAUGUCCUUGCCUCACUUUCCUGAAGCACAUGAGGACUCCUCCCAGGGCUCCAAGACCAUCUCCAUGUUCCAGGCCCUAGCUUAAGUUGGCUAGAGUCUGGUGGUAAAAGGCUUUGGCAUGAGAGUCCAGCUGGCUGGGAAGCGAGAAAGUUAAUCAAAUGAGGUUCACUGGAGAGAAGAGAGGAGAAAAGAGGGAAGAGACAGAGACACUAAAGGCUCUAUUUUCAGAAUAUGUUUUUCUAAAUUAAGUUGCAUUACUAGGUCAAAGACUAGGAACACAAUUUUUUUUUCUACUACAUAUUAUCAGAUUGCUUCCCAGAAAUAUGGUUGAGAUUCAGAUAUUCAGCAAGAAUGCGCUUGUUAGGGCGCCUGGGUGGCUCAGUGGGUUAAGCCUCUGCCUUCAGCUCGGGUCGUGGUCUCGGGGUCCUGGGAUCGUCCCGCAUCGGGCUCUCUGCUCAGUGGGGAGCCUGCUUCCCCUCUUCUCUGCCUGCCUCUUUGCCUACUUGUGAUCUCUCUCUCUCUGUCAAAUAUUUUACAUUUUUGCCAAUUUUGAAUGAAAAAUUAGAUUUCACUGUUGAUUUAUUUUGCAUUUCCAUGACUAGUGAGGGUGAGGCUCUCUUCUUACAUUUAUUCGUCAUUAGUAUUUCCUCUUCUAUGAAUUGCCUGUUCAUAUCCUUUGCUUUUUUAUUCCCAAAUCAACUUUUUAAAAAAUCAGCUUUUCUCUAUAUUAGAGAUAUUACCCUGACUUUUUUUUUUAAACAAAUAUUUUCUCCCAAUUCAUUGUCUCUUGAAAAAAUGUUUUUUUCCAUCAGGAAAAUUCACAUUUGCAUGUAGUUAAAUACAGUGCACCUAUCUGUCUUUUCUUUUAAGUGAUCUAUAGUUCUUUGUAUUGUUUAAGAAAGUUUCCCUCAGGGGCGCCUGGGUGGCUCUGUGGGUUAAGCCUCUGCCUUCGCCUCAGGUCAUGAUCCCAAGGUCCUAGAUCAAGCCCCACAUUGGGAGGCAGGGAGCCUGCUUCCCCCUCUCUCUCUGCCUGCCUCUCUGCCUACUUGUGAUCUCUAUCUGUCAAACAAAUAAAUACAAUCUUAAAAAAAAAAAAAAAAAAACUUUCCCUGAGGUUGAAGUUAUACUUUUUCCCAAUAUUUUAUUGUUUUGUCUUUUAUGUUUAUAUGUUCUUUUUUAAUGUUUAUAUCUUCUAAUCCUGGCUAAGAAAAAAUGCUCUCAUCUCAAAAAACCCAAACUGAACCCAAAGCAAAAGCAAGAUAAAACCAGGGUUUUCAUCAGUUGGAAAUCCUUGAAGAAAUUUUGAAUCAUUCAUACAGUAGAAAAUCAUAUAUUAUUAAAAAGAAUGAGUUCUGGGACGCCUGGGUGGCUCAGUUGGUUGGACAACUGCCUUCAGCUCAGGUCAUGAUCCCAGGGUCCAGAGAUCGAGUCCUGCAUCGGGCUCCCAGCUCCAUGGGGAGUCUGCUUCUCUAUCUGACCUUCUCUUCACUCAUGCUCUCUCUCAAAUAAAUAAAUAAAAUCUUAAAAAAAAAAAAGAAUGAGUUCUUUAAAUAUGAGCUUGAGGAGGGAUCAAUAAUCCACCAUUAUAUCAAAAAAGGCAAAUUGAAAAAAAAAAAAAGGCAAAUUGCAGGGCUAUGCAUAUAAAAUAAAUAUUCUUAUUUUAAAAAAUCCCCUCUCUUUAUAUAAGUGUUUUUAAAAUAUAUUCAAACACUUUAAUCAUUUAUAACUUUUUGGAUAGAUAAUUUUAUUCACAGGGUUCAAAGGGGUAGAGCUGUGUAGUUAAAAGUUUCCUUCCUACUCCUACCGCCAGUGAUCUAUUGCCUCUUCCCAGAGUCAACCAAUGCUGCCUUAUUGGGGAUACUUCUAGAGCUAUUCUAUGCAUAUUUAAGAGGUUCCAUUUCUUUCCCUUUGUAAAAAUAAAUAAAUAAAUAAAUAACAAUGAAUGAUA